This 73-nucleotide transfer RNA is filed under the name Dipodomys ordii (Ord's kangaroo rat). It matches the Rfam family "tRNA". Rfam says of the family: Transfer RNA (tRNA) molecules are approximately 80 nucleotides in length. Their secondary structure includes four short double-helical elements and three loops (D, anti-codon, and T loops). Lineage: Eukaryota; Metazoa; Chordata; Mammalia; Rodentia; Heteromyidae. The record is from Rfam by way of RNAcentral.
GGAGGUAUGGCUAAAGUGGUACAGCACCUACAUAGCAAGAAUGAGGCCCUGAGUUCAAUUCCUAGUACCACCA